AAGUCGUAACAAGGUUUCCGUAGGUGAACCUGCGGAAGGAUCAUUAACAGAUUCUGCUAGCCAGAUAUCUUACCCCGUGUGAACUGUUCUUUAGACUUGGUGCCCAAGACUCGAGGCUCUCCGAGAGGGGCGCGUCUCUCAAGGGUGUCUCGACUCUAAGCACCAUCAUUUUUACCCUUUAACUUUGAAUGCCGAGUAAACUUACAAAAGACUAGAAAACUUUUAGCAACGGAUCUCUAGGCUCUU
Molecule: unclassified non-coding RNA, 246 nt
Filed under: fungal sp.
Lineage: Eukaryota; Fungi
Description: partial internal transcribed spacer region
Rfam family: Eukaryotic small subunit ribosomal RNA (bases 1-46)
Source: RNAcentral